This 466-nucleotide ribosomal RNA is filed under the name uncultured bacterium. RNAcentral describes it as "partial 16S ribosomal RNA". It matches the Rfam family "Bacterial small subunit ribosomal RNA", at positions 28 to 507 of the family's 1533-position model. The record is from RNAcentral.
GAUGAACGCUGGCGGCGUGCUUAACACAUGCAAGUCGAACGAUGAAGCCCAGCUUGCUGGGUGGAUUAGUGGCGAACGGGUGAGUAACACGUGAGUAACCUGCCCUUAACUCUGGGAUAAGCCUGGGAAACUGGGUCUAAUACCGGAUAGGAGCGUCCACCGCAUGGUGGGUGUUGGAAAGAUUUAUCGGUUUUGGAUGGACUCGCGGCCUAACAGCUUGUUGGUGAGGUAAUGGCUCACCAAGGCGACGACGGGUAGCCGGCCUGAGAGGGUGACCGGCCACACUGGGACUGAGACACGGCCCAGACUCCUACGGGAGGCAGCAGUGGGGAAUAUUGCACAAUGGGCGCAAGCCUGAUGCAGCGACGCCGCGUGAGGGAUGACGGCCUUCGGGUUGUAAACCUCUUUCAGUAGGGAAGAAGCGAAAGUGACGGUACCUGCAGAAGAAGCACCGGCUAACUACGUG